AAUGGGUCAGCGACUUAUAUUCUGUAGCAAGGUUAACCGAAUAGGGGAGCCGAAGGGAAACCGAGUCUUAACUGGGCGUUAAGUUGCAGGGUAUAGACCCGAAACCCGGUGAUCUAGCCAUGGGCAGGUUGAAGGUUGGGUAACACUAACUGGAGGACCGAACCGACUAAUGUUGAAAAAUUAGCGGAUGACUUGUGGCUGGGGGUGAAAGGCCAAUCAAACCGGGAGAUAGCUGGUUCUCCCCGAAAGCUAUUUAGGUAGCGCCUCGUGAAUUCAUCUCCGGGGGUAGAGCACUGUUUCGGCAAGGGGGUCAUCCCGACUUACCAACCCGAUGCAAACUGCGAAUACCGGAGAAUGUUAUCACGGGAGACACACGGCGGGUGCUAACGUCCGUCGUGAAGAGGGAAACAACCCAGACCGCCAGCUAAGGUCCCAAAGUCAUGGUUAAGUGGGAAACGAUGUGGGAAGGCCCAGACAGCCAGGAUGUUGGCUUAGAAGCAGCCAUCAUUUAAAGAAAGCGUAAUAGCUCACUGGUCGAGUCGGCCUGCGCGGAAGAUGUAACGGGGCUAAACCAUGCACCGAAGCUGCGGCAGCGACACUAUGUGUUGUUGGGUAGGGGAGCGUUCUGUAAGCCUGUGAAGGUGUGCUGUGAGGCAUGCUGGAGGUAUCAGAAGUGCGAAUGCUGACAUAAGUAACGAUAAAGCGGGUGAAAAGCCCGCUCGCCGGAAGACCAAGGGUUCCUGUCCAACGUUAAUCGGGGCAGGGUGAGUCGACCCCUAAGGCGAGGCCGAAAGGCGUAGUCGAUGGGAAACAGGUUAAUAUUCCUGUACUUGGUGUUACUGCGAAGGGGGGACGGAGAAGGCUAUGUUGGCCGGGCGACGGUUGUCCCGGUUUAAGCGUGUAGGCUGGUUUUCCAGGCAAAUCCGGAAAAUCAAGGCUGAGGCGUGAUGACGAGGCACUACGGUGCUGAAGCAACAAAUGCCCUGCUUCCAGGAAAAGCCUCUAAGCAUCAGGUAACAUCAAAUCGUACCCCAAACCGACACAGGUGGUCAGGUAGAGAAUACCAAGGCGCUUGAGAGAACUCGGGUGAAGGAACUAGGCAAAAUGGUGCCGUAACUUCGGGAGAAGGCACGCUGAUAUGUAGGUGAAGUCCCUCGCGGAUGGAGCUGAAAUCAGUCGAAGAUACCAGCUGGCUGCAACUGUUUAUUAAAAACACAGCACUGUGCAAACACGAAAGUGGACGUAUACGGUGUGACGCCUGCCCGGUGCCGGAAGGUUAAUUGAUGGGGUUAGCGCAAGCGAAGCUCUUGAUCGAAGCCCCGGUAAACGGCGGCCGUAACUAUAACGGUCCUAAGGUAGCGAAAUUCCUUGUCGGGUAAGUUCCGACCUGCACGAAUGGCGUAAUGAUGGC
RNAcentral lists this ribosomal RNA (1411 nucleotides) under Escherichia coli. RNAcentral's name for it is "partial 23S ribosomal RNA". It matches the Rfam family "Bacterial large subunit ribosomal RNA", at positions 614 to 2011 of the family's 2925-position model. Lineage: Bacteria; Pseudomonadati; Pseudomonadota; Gammaproteobacteria; Enterobacterales; Enterobacteriaceae. The record is from RNAcentral.